RNAcentral lists this unclassified non-coding RNA (178 nucleotides) under Trichoderma atroviride. RNAcentral describes it as "ITS2". The record is from RNAcentral. Lineage: Eukaryota; Fungi; Ascomycota; Sordariomycetes; Hypocreales; Hypocreaceae.
UCAACCCUCGAACCCCUCCGGGGGGUCGGCGUUGGGGACCUCGGGAACCCCUAAGACGGGAUCCCGGCCCCGAAAUACAGUGGCGGUCUCGCCGCAGCCUCUCCUGCGCAGUAGUUUGCACAACUCGCACCGGGAGCGCGGCGCGUCCACGUCCGUAAAACACCCAACUUCUGAAAUG